Molecule: ribosomal RNA, 825 nt
Filed under: uncultured bacterium
Lineage: Bacteria
Description: bacterial SSU rRNA
Rfam family: Bacterial small subunit ribosomal RNA
Source: RNAcentral
ACGCGGUUAGUAGCAAUACUAACUGAGUGGCGAACGGGUGAGUAACACGUGGGUGACCUACCUCCGAGUGGGGGAUAACGUCCCGAAAGGGACGCUAAUACCGCAUGAUAUCCUGCCUUUGAACAGGUGGAGAUCAAAGCCGGGGAUCGCAAGACCUGGCGCUUGAAGAGGGGCCCGCGUCCGAUUAGCUAGUUGGUGAGGUAACGGCUCACCAAGGCGACGAUCGGUAUCCGGCCUGAGAGGGCGGACGGACACACUGGGACUGAGACACGGCCCAGACUCCUACGGGAGGCAGCAGUGGGGAAUUGUUCGCAAUGGGCGCAAGCCUGACGACGCAACGCCGCGUGGAGGAUGAAGGUCUUCGGAUUGUAAACUCCUGUUGCCAGGGACGAAUAGCUCCGACCUAACACGUCGGAGUAUGACGGUACCUGGUGAGGAAGCCCCGGCUAACUCUGUGCCAGCAGCCGCGGUAAUACAGAGGGGGCAAGCGUUGUUCGGAAUUACUGGGCGUAAAGGGCGCGUAGGCGGCCCGCUAAGUCGAACGUGAAAUCCCCGGGCUUAACCCGGGAACUGCGUCCGAUACUGGUAGGCUUGAAUCCGGGAGAGGGAUGUGGAAUUCCAGGUGUAGCGGUGAAAUGCGUAGAUAUCUGGAGGAACACCGGUGGCGAAGGCGGCAUCCUGGACCGGUAUUGACGCUGAGGCGCGAAAGCUAGGGUAGCAAACGGGAUUAGAUACCCCGGUAGUCCUAGCCCUAAACGAUGAAUGCUUGGUGUGGCGGGUAUCGAUCCCUGCCGUGCCGAAGCUAACGCAUUAAGCAUUCCGCCU